GUUAGGAAUAUUGGACAAUGGGCGCAAGCCUGAUCCAGCAAUGCCGCGUGCAGGAAGAAGGCCUUCGGGUUGUAAACUGCUUUUGUACGGAACGAAACGGUCCUGGUUAAUACCUGGGGCUAAUGACGGUACCGUAAGAAUAAGCACCGGCUAACUACGUGCCAGCAGCCGCGGUAAUACGUAGGGUGCGAGCGUUAAUCGGAAUUACUGGGCGUAAAGCGUGCGCAGGCGGUGCUGUAAGACAGGCGUGAAAUCCCCGGGCUCAACCUGGGAAUUGCGCUUGUGACUGCAGUGCUGGAGUACGGCAGAGGGGGAUGGAAUUCCGCGUGUAGCAGUGAAAUGCGUAGAUAUGCGGAGGAACACCGAUGGCGAAGGCAGUCCCCUGGGCCUGUACUGACGCUCAUGCACGAAAGCGUGGGGAGCAAACAGGAUUAGAUACCCGAGUAGUCC
Molecule: ribosomal RNA, 450 nt
Filed under: uncultured bacterium
Lineage: Bacteria
Description: partial 16S ribosomal RNA
Rfam family: Bacterial small subunit ribosomal RNA
Source: RNAcentral